This 491-nucleotide ribosomal RNA is filed under the name uncultured bacterium. Its description in RNAcentral is "partial 16S ribosomal RNA". It matches the Rfam family "Bacterial small subunit ribosomal RNA", at positions 28 to 507 of the family's 1533-position model. The record is from RNAcentral.
GAUGAACGCUGGCUACAGGCUUAACACAUGCAAGUCGAGGGGAAACGACGGGGAAGCUUGCUUCCCCGGGCGUCGACCGGCGCACGGGUGAGUAACGCGUAUCCAACCUGCCUCUGACUGAGGGAUAACCCGUCGAAAGUCGGCCUAAUACCUCAUGGUAUCGUCUGCGGGCAUCCAACGACGAUUAAAGAUUUCAUCGGUCAGGGAUGGGGAUGCGUCUGAUCAGCUUGUUGGCGGGGUAACGGCCCACCAAGGCUACGAUCAGUAGGGGUUCUGAGAGGAAGGUCCCCCACAUUGGAACUGAGACACGGUCCAAACUCCUACGGGAGGCAGCAGUGAGGAAUAUUGGUCAAUGGGCGAGAGCCUGAACCAGCCAAGUAGCGUGCAGGAAGACGGCCCUAUGGGUUGUAAACUGCUUUUAUGCGGGGAUAAAGUGAGGGACGUGUCCCUCAUUGCAGGUACCGCAUGAAUAAGGACCGGCUAAUUCCGUG